This 7680-nucleotide long non-coding RNA is filed under the name Homo sapiens (human). RNAcentral describes it as "non-protein coding lnc-IQCF6-2:2". The record is from RNAcentral. Lineage: Eukaryota; Metazoa; Chordata; Mammalia; Primates; Hominidae.
AGCCCCAGCGCUGGCUGCGGCGGAACCCACGGCGUACCUUCCCGCCUCCAACAAACUAUCCGGUUGCUGAGGUUGAUUUAGCAACACCCCAGGGCAUCUGGGUUGGCAGGAGCACCACAGUGACAGCCUGGCCCAGGCUCGGGUACGGGAGGCAGCCCAGUGGCCCGCAGUAGAGGGCCAGGCUGGGGACCAGGGAGCUGGGGCUGAGGAGAAUUUGUACAGCCUAGGGAGGCGCAGCACAGCAGUAUCAGCCUCUGGCAUUUGUACCACCUUUAGUCCUGCCACUUUCUCUCACUGUGGCUUCGCAACAGACUUGGGAACCAAGAAAGGCAUAGGUGAGGAAGCUGAAGCCCAGUCUGGGCUCGCGGAAGAAACUGGUGGAUCCAACUUCUGCAUAGCGCAAAUAUCUGCUUCCUGCCUCCACCCACCCAUUCCCACUUCCCCUGAUUGGGGAACUCUAGAGCCCCACAUCAGAGUUCAACAUGUGCCUCAGGAGCUUCAGCACCUCUUUUGUGGGAGGAGAGUCCGCUGGUGACUGGGGCUGCAGGCCAUGACAUCAGCCUGCCCAGCUUCACCUCAGGCUGCUUCCAACAGUGCCAAGUGAGGUCCCUUGGCAGGAUCCCUGCAAGGCAGCGGCUGGCCACCAGGAGGCAGCAGCCUACUCUACAAGGCACUUUCUUCAUUCCAACCCCUUGUAACAGGUCUGAGGAAACCUGUUCGCCCAGCCAUGUGCUGCAACCAUCCUCCACUCCCAAUCUUAUCUCCCAAUAGCACAGAUUCCCCUAUCAUGAGUCCAGACUUGGCCUUCAUCUCCUCUUGCCUUCCUCUGUCCAAGGAAUCACUACAGAGAUUCUUUCUCUAUCCUUCUUUGUAAAUUUCCAGAAAAUUGUUUCCCCAGGGCCCCUCCCCUUGAAGAAAUUAAACAGGAAGCUGGAGUAGACUGUCCCUUCUUUCCCCCACCUCUCACACUCCAAAGCUCUGUUUAACUCUGUGGGCCAGUGGCUAGAUUCCCCAACAUGGAUGACAGAGAAUACACAUGCAAUAAGAAUGUUUUCGCUGCCACCAGCCACUCACAGACACACUGUCUCCCACCCUCUGAAGGCAUUGUGCCCAAUCCCCAGCCACUCACUGUCUAGUCAGGGCUGCCCCUGCAGGACUUGCCUUGGCUGAGGACCAGCUAGCUUCAAGCCACUCUGAAGUCAGCUUGCUGUUUCCCCUGGAGCCUGGUAAUACAUCCUUCUUCAGGUGAACAAAAGCAGAAAAAGCCCAGUGAACCCCACUGCAACAAAGAGCCUGCCAUCAGUCUUCCUUCUGUUCCUGCCUAUCUCAUCACCCAAGGGCUAUCCCAGAGCCCACUAUGUUCUAAGAUCUAUUCCUUUCACCACCACCCAGCCAAACAACUAUCCAGACAAUUCCUUGAUCAAACAACACUGCCUUCUUGAGUUUAAAUUUUAUUUUACAAAAAGAGAAAUAAAGAAAACUGAUAGGCAGUUAUACUGACUUACAAUUGUUCUGUUUGCUUUUUUUUAAAAAAGUGACAUGAAACACAAGUAAAAAUAAAUACGUCAUAGAAACAGCCAGUUGCCCAGUCUCUGGGGCAGGAGCGCCUGCCCUGCUGAGAGGAGGGAAGCCCAUGAUCACACCAGCAGCUGGAUCACCCAGCCACAGAUGCUCCUCGAAGCCAGGCACAGGUCCCAGGCCUCAGGGGCGUCCUGAGGAAAGAAGACGGAAAACCAAAGCCAGGUGCCAGGACCCUGGGGCCACCUCAUUAUCCCCCACUCCUCCUGGCAGCAGUCUGGUCUUAGUGGUUAUCCAUAGCGACCCCCCUUAACCCACCUGGACCCUCUUCCCCUGACCUCUCUGAAGAUGGUACAAGGGAAAAACCUGUCUUGGGCAGGCUGGGGGGGAUUCUUCUGGUGAGUCCCCAGCCCACCCUGAGUAACACAACCAGAUAACAGUCAUUUUACACCCAGGUGCACAUGAGCACAGCACACAAACACACACACACACACUCACACACACACACACACACAGCUGGGCUGAGCUCUCUUCCAGGGAGGGUCCUGGGUCCAGUCACAGUAUGAGGUCCUCUCUCUUCUGAAUAUCAUCCCAGUAGUGGCAGCAGAGAGUACCCAAACCUCCCCAAGCCCUCUGCAUUGCAGACACUGCAGCCUGCUUGGCUACCCCUCCCCAACACACUAGAUUACUAUGUCAAAUAGACCUGCAAAAGGGAAAGGUGCACACUCAGGUCCCUGAAGAGCAAAGAAGUUGGACACUGCCUGCUCAAGAAGUUCAUUGUUAUAAGACUCAGGUAUUCAUAAAAGGCCUAGGGCUAAGCUAGUAGCACAGAAAAGCCGUUAAGGGGAUCACAGCAGAAUACACAGGGCAGAAGAGAAGAGUUGGCAGCAGGGGAACGGAGUCUCAAGGUGACCAAUAGAGAGCACAACAUUCUCAAAUAGUCCUUGAGGUGCUGAUUCCUGGGAGUAGUCAGCAGAGGGCCAGAACAUCUCCCAGGGGUCCUUUUGGGGAAGGAUGACUUCACUUAGUUUUAGGGGUGAAGAGCCACUGAGCUGGGUGCACAGAAGGCCAUGGCUCAGAAGGGAAAGACUGAUCUGAGAAAUCAAAAGGAAGUGGGGGCCAGGAGCAGUGGCUCACGCCUGUAAUCCCAUCACUGGGAGGCCGAGGAGGGUGGAUCACUUGAGGUCAGGAGUUCAAGGCCAGCCUGGCCAACGUGGUGAAACCCCGUCUCUACUAAAAAAUAUACAAAUUAGCUGGGCAUGGUGGUGUGCACCUGUAAUCCCAGCUACUUGGGAGGCUGAGGCAGGAGGAUCGCUUGAAACCGGGAGUGGAGGUUGCACGGAGCCAAGAUCACACCAUUGCACUCAAGCCUGGGUGACAGAGCAAGACUCUGUCUCAAAAAAAAAAAAAAGGAAGUGGGAAGCAGAAGGUAAUAUCCAGAACACUAGUAACAAGGAAUGUAAAGCCCCCAGAAGACCUUCCCCAUGGGAUGAGGACUCAAUUUCAGAGCAAUGCCAGGUUUGAAUAGACUCACACAGAGGGCCCUUCUCUGCUGACAACUUUGGGAGUGAUGGUCCUACCCAGGCCACUUAAGUUUGGCUAAGUGUUUCAACCAAUCUGCAAAACUGUACCCCAGCACUUUGCUUCCUGCUCCUGAAUUGAGAAAUUUCAUAUUUAGUUGUGAAUCACAAGCAUAUAGAGACUCCACACACUAAUUCCUAGGGAAGAGAGCUCCAAGGAUCACAAGCAUAUAGAGACUCCACACACUAAUUCCUAGGGAAGAGAGCUCCAAGGACCAGACAGAAUUAUCCUUAAAUCAGGAGAUGAUGAGAUAGAUGCCUAAAAAGCAUAACUCAAAGGGGUGUGGACUUCAUAGAUAUCCAAUCUAAAGAAAAUGAUAUGACCCAACAUGGUUCACUUCCUUUCUUAAAUAGCUACUUUGUCCCUGUUCAAUUUUUAUCUACAAAUAUAUUAAGAAAAGGAAAUCAAGCAUCACUAUAAAUGGUAAACCUCAAUCAUUAAGUAGUACUGUGUUCCCCAGGCUGAGAACUUGGCUAAACCAGAUGAAUGGGGCUUGAGAGGCCCUUGAAAACAUUCCAUGGAAGACAAUGGUAAGGGAAAACGCCUAGGCCUGAUUUUCUGCCCUCCCUCUUAUCACCAGCCACCCUGCCCCCCUCAGGCCUGGAUAAUGGGUGGAAGACACCACCAAGUGUUUAUGAUCAAAGAAACUAUAAAACAUGGUUCUUAGGCUCUGAGAUACUUCCUGCUUCCCUCACAAACAUGCUUAUGUUUGGUGUGCAUGCACAUUUGCCUAUCAGCACAUAUAAAGAGACAGUGGAAAAGUCAGAAGUGUUUUCAGGUUAUUUUCUUUAAAAAAAAAAAAAAAAAAAAAAAAAAAAAAAAAAAGCAAAAACCAUGGACCUGGUAGCACUCCAAUUUCCCAUGAUCCCACCCCCAACCCCUCUACACAAUAGAAACUGCACAUAUAAAAGAAAGCCUUCUCUAGUCAGGUCAGCCUCCCAGAAUGAUGGCCUCUGCUGAGUAGAAGCAAGACCCAGUCCCUGGAACACUGGAUAGACAGUAGGCAUGUGCUGCCUCUCAGAAUACCCAUUUACUUUCUGUCAACUUCAAAAGCCAAGCCCAUCCCUCCAGGGAAUGGUUUCAGUUCCCGGCUGGGAAGGUUUCCGGAUUCUUGGAGGCUAGUACAGUGAUUUCCUAGAAGUGAACACAGAAAUACUACCCCCUUCUCCCGACAACACACACACACAGACAUACACAUGCACACAUGCAUCUCUGGGAUCCCAGUGCUCCAGGGCCUGAGAGGCAUCAGUGUAACCCAGGUUCUGAGUGUGUCCCAUAAAUUGGAGAUUCAGUCUAGCUCACUCCUACUGCACCAGCCUCAACCUGAGAGCUCACUCCAACUGAGUCCCUUCACCAUCCAUUCUUGGGAUGCAUCUGAAAGAGAAAGCACUGGUUGGAACUGCUAUUUUUAAAUUAUUAAAAUAAUUUGCAUAGCUAAAUUGUAGAUCUAAGGCUUCCAUGAGUAGAAGAGUUAAGUGUCUGGCAGGGUGCUUAUGAAAACACAAAGCUUCUUAAGUUCCACUUUUGGUGUUAUUGGACAGCAGACAAACACACAUAUACACAUGCACCCCAUCCAUCAUCUCCUUGUCUCUUCUCUGAGGACAAUACCCCAGAGUCUGCUAAGGCCCUCCAAAGAUGGAAAUGGGCUGGUCAGAAGAGCUGUAGGAGCUACUACUGGGAUGACCUGACUAAGCUGCCUUCUGGGCUGGGAAGAGGCAGGUACACCACCUGCCCAGUAAGGAGGGAGCCAUGGGUAAGUGGUAAAGCUCUAAAGCCAAAGUUUGUUCAUCAUAAAGAACUGUCUGGCAAAGUGUUGGGGUGGGGGAUACAGAGGGGGCGGGGACACCAGUAGGAAGACAGCCAGUGUUUAUGCUUAAGGACUAGACGACCCUCCCCUGGCAAUGGCAAUAAGGGGAGACCCAGAAUGACUGGUGUGUUCUUUUAAGAUAAAACCCAGACUUAGGGCUCCUACAGAGAAAGGGCUCCUCCAUGUUCCUUCAAAGAUGGAGGCAGCAGACACCAGGCCUACAUGGACCACCUGAAGAUAUUUUCGAACAUGAAAUCAACAGUCCCUCAACCCAGCAACCGCCUAUCCACAGCUUCACUAUUCAGCAUAGAGAGCCAACAUCUAACAUCAUCCCAGGAGGACACAGCUCCAAAUCUGGGGUCUCUUACUUCCCAAUUGCAAACUCCAUGAUCACAACUUUCGAUUUCUGUGGAAUGAGUCCCACCCUCCACUAACUAUCCAGUCUCAGGAUUCCCUGAUCUUCCUGAAAAGCCAUCUCUCAAAAAUAUAGUUGUUUAAUCCAAACCUUGGUCAAACCUAACUCUUCCCCUGGUCAAUUUACCAUCCAUCCAGGAUUGUUUUUCACCAGUGGCUAUAGGGUCUGGGAUAUCUUAAAACUUCCCUUUCUAUCACCUACCCUCCUUACCCCUAACCUCCCCCCACCCCCAAAUAAACAAGACACAUGAAAAGUCCAAGUAAUAAAUAAUUGCCCAUAAGAAAUAAAUUAACAUGGAGCUCUCUAAAGGGGAAGGAAAGGAACAGAAAAGACUACCAGGAUAGGCAGCUGGGGGCUCAGUUCUACCCUGGUGAAAAAUGUAUUUUCCAGCCACAACUCUGCGACCUUUCAUUCACGUACUGCAGUGCUUCUCCCUCCCAGCCUCUGCACACAGACAACCUUCCAAGCUGGAAAGGGAGAGCUGCUCAGAGAUAGCCACCGGGGUUAAGAGACAUAGAUUGGUAAUGCCCAUUUUCUCUCAUGAAUUUCCCCAAAUUCUCACACAAAUGUGGCUCUGAAUACCAGGGACUUGAGUUAGCUGGGCCUUCUCUUCACCCAUCCCGAAGGAAACUUGUUAUUUCCAUGGCUCUUCUGGGCUCACCCUGAUGUUCACACUAGGUGCCAUGAACCACCAAACUGACUUCCAUUUAAAGAAAGAUAAAUUCAUUUUUCAGUUUCCCUCUUAGUUCUUCCCUCCCUCCCCUCCCACCUUCACCCCUGCUCUGUUCCAUACAUACACAUACAAAAUAAACAUACACACACACACUCACAAACACACAUACCUGGUCAGCUUCCUUCCCACCCCCUAAAAAGACCCCACUUCACAUGGGAUCACAGUCUGCUCCCCCUACCCACCCUCCUUCUCUCACUCAUUCUCCCUUCCUUCACUCCCCUCCCCAGGCCAAGCUAAGUCACCUAGUAAGGCAGCUCUCUUGGGAAAGAAUGUUCCCAAAGACAGAAAUGGGAUGUGCGCUUCUACACUCAGAUGGGCGAGCAAGCAAGCAGACAGCAUAAGCAAGGCAGGAAGGAAAAGAGGCUGCACUGCCCCUCCAUCCCUGUUUUGGGUCCCUGAUUUCCCGCUAUUGCUGCUGUGUUGGACUUUUUUUUUUUUUUUUUUUUUUUUGCCUCUUUUGUUAAACAGCAACAGAGCUCUGCCACUUUGGCCAACCACCCUCCUUUGUCCUCUUCCUUUUCCCUCCUGCCAAGUGUCCUAUUCUCAAAAGGUCUAAAUCACUGCCUUUCAGCUUGGUGGGCAACCUGCUGGGGGCCCCAAGUGAGGUGGGGAGGGGCUCCCUAGCUAUUUCCCAGUGACCUCUAUCACAUCAUCGUCUUUAUCCUCAUCAUCAUUGGAGCUGAACCCAACCUCGGCAACCUCAUGAGAGUCAAAUGGAGGCACCUGGGACCGUAGGAGGCCACCAGCUGGGUAGCCUGCAUGUGGGGACAUGUAGCCUGGAUAGAUAGACAUGCCCCGCGAAAGGUUGCUGGGCAAGACAGGGGAAGGAAAAGGCGCAAACAUCCUCGGCUCGGACAGGAGUGGCUGUGAGAAUGGGAGUGAAUAGCUGGGUAGUAUCCCUGGCACAGAAGGGUUGAGCAUGAAGGAGGGGUUGCUGGCAGUGACUGAGGUAGCCGUGGAAGAGGAACUGACGGGGCCUGCUGGCACCAGAGGGUCAGUAGUCACUGGAAACACCAGGCGGGCAUCUGCCAGCAAAUUGGACAGCUGGUAGUAGGAGGGGGUACUGCCCAUAAACAGGGAGUUCUCCCCAGCCUGGGAGGUGAAGGGGGUGGUGAGGUUAUGGUUUAAGGAGACGGGUGGCAUGGCAAACCCGCCAGAGACUGGAUACCCGUGUUCAUACGGCUGCACGGGGGCUGGCAGAUGACCCUUCCUGGACCGCCGGCGGGAUGACUCCUGGGCAGCAGGUGGUGUGGCCAACUUUCGCUUGUGGCCCCUUAAGUCCAGCACUGGGUGCCUGUCACCACAGGGCUGGCCAGUCACCAAGAGGGAACUAUUGAGGCAAUGACCCCCUAGUCGAGGCUCAGUUCCGAGAGCUGUCCCGGGAACAGCACUGCUGUCCAUAAGUUGGGCCGGGGGGCCAGGCAGGGCGGCAUUGGUGCUUGGGGAGCUCUGACGGGAUUCCCGGGCAGCAGCCACAUCUGCAUACUGCUGAAGCUCACUGAUGAUCUCUGGGCUGUCAGGAGAGACGGGCCUGGCCAGCCCCUCAGGGUCGGGGGCUUUGGGUGAUGAGGCACUGUGUCUGCCGUUGCUUGUGGACUCGCAAGAAGGUCCCUGGGAACCUGGGGA